Chenopodium quinoa (quinoa) is the source of this 867-nucleotide long non-coding RNA. RefSeq lists it as uncharacterized. Lineage: Eukaryota; Viridiplantae; Streptophyta; Magnoliopsida; Caryophyllales; Amaranthaceae. The transcript is spliced from 2 exons. The record is from RefSeq and is a predicted model, not a curated record.
UUUCAUAGGAGUUAAAUAUCGAGCACUGUCUGAACUUUCUCCAAUCUCUGAAUGAUGUACACCAUUCACAUCAGUACCCAUCUCAAUUACAUCUCCAGAUGUUAAGCCUAGGGAUGUCAGUGGGGCGGGUCUAGUAGGAGACCCGCCCCAUCCCCGCCCCGAUGGGGCAGGGAUGGGUCUAGCUUUGGCGGGUCGCGGGGCGGGGAUGGGUCUAAAAUCCAUACCCGCCAUGGGUGAUGGGGCGGGGGUGGAUUUAAAGUAAUACCCGCCCCAUCCCCGCCCGGCCUGACCCACCCCAUACCCGCCCCGCCUGACCAACCCCACACCUGACCCAUACCCGCAUUAUACCCGACCCGUCCCAUAUAAUGCAAUAACAUAUUUCGUUAAAUAUUAUACAGCAAAAAAUAAUGUUACUGACUUGAUUAAGGAAGUCUCUAGACACUAGACUUCUAGAAGAAAAAAAAAAAAAAAACCAUAUUCAUUUUCAUUCUCAACCCUAGCCGACACUAUCACUCAUUCACUCUCCUCUCCUCUCCUCUCAAGCUCUAUCAAUCAUACAAUCACCACCUCUGAAUCUCGCCGCUGAGUUGUGCGCUGAUCAACACUCCGAUCUACAUAAUCCCUACCUCUUCCUAUAUAAUCGAUUGUAGAGAAUACAAGGAUGAUGAAUAUGCUAAAUUGGUGGGAGAAUUAGUGGAAGAAUUUGAAACAUGAGAUAUCGAUUCCAGUACAAGUGAAGUUUGCACUACACAGAAUAAUUGAAGGCUUAGAGUUAUUAUUAUGUAUUUUUAAUAUUUGGACUUUAGACAAUUUAGAGUUACAUUUAUUUGUUUAGAGUGUAUUAUAUUAGUUACUGUGUUUUUUUUU